RNAcentral lists this transfer RNA (92 nucleotides) under Clostridia bacterium. RNAcentral's name for it is "tRNA-Ser". It matches the Rfam family "tRNA". Rfam says of the family: Transfer RNA (tRNA) molecules are approximately 80 nucleotides in length. Their secondary structure includes four short double-helical elements and three loops (D, anti-codon, and T loops). RNAcentral also lists the same sequence under 1 other name. The record is from RNAcentral. Lineage: Bacteria; Bacillati; Bacillota; Clostridia.
GGAGAGAUGGCUGAGCUGGUCUAAGGCGCACGACUGGAAAUCGUGUAACGGCUAAUACCCGUUCCAGGGUUCGAAUCCCUGUCUCUCCGCCA